Molecule: transfer RNA, 89 nt
Filed under: Desulfovibrio sp.
Lineage: Bacteria; Pseudomonadati; Thermodesulfobacteriota; Desulfovibrionia; Desulfovibrionales; Desulfovibrionaceae
Description: tRNA-Ser
Rfam family: tRNA
About the family: Transfer RNA (tRNA) molecules are approximately 80 nucleotides in length. Their secondary structure includes four short double-helical elements and three loops (D, anti-codon, and T loops). Further hydrogen bonds mediate the characteristic L-shaped molecular structure. tRNAs have two regions of fundamental functional importance: the anti-codon, which is responsible for specific mRNA codon recognition, and the 3' end, to which the tRNAs corresponding amino acid is attached (by aminoacyl-tRNA synthetases). tRNAs cope with the degeneracy of the genetic code in two manners: having more than one tRNA (with a specific anti-codon) for a particular amino acid; and 'wobble' base-pairing, i.e. permitting non-standard base-pairing at the 3rd anti-codon position.
Source: RNAcentral
GGAGGGAUGGCAGAGCGGUUGAUUGCGGUGGUCUUGAAAACCACUUAGGAUAAAGUCCUACGGGGGUUCAAAUCCCUCUCCCUCCGCCA